This 468-nucleotide ribosomal RNA is filed under the name uncultured Alphaproteobacteria bacterium. RNAcentral's name for it is "bacterial SSU rRNA". It matches the Rfam family "Bacterial small subunit ribosomal RNA", at positions 9 to 524 of the family's 1533-position model. The record is from RNAcentral. Lineage: Bacteria; Pseudomonadati; Pseudomonadota; Alphaproteobacteria.
GAGUUUGAUCUUGGCUCAGAGCGAACGCUGGCGGCAGGCCUAACACAUGCAAGUCGAACGAACCCUUCGGGGUUAGUGGCGGACGGGUGAGUAACACGUGGGAACGUACCCUUAGGUUCGGAACAACACAGGGAAACUUGUGCUAAUGCCGAAUGUGCCCUUCGGGGGAAAGAUUUAUCGCCUUUGGAGCGGCCCGCGUCUGAUUAGCUUGUUGGUGAGGUAAAGGCUCACCAAGGCUUCGAUCAGUAGCUGGUCUGAGAGGAUGAUCAGCCACACUGGGACUGAGACACGGCCCAGACUCCUACGGGAGGCAGCAGUGGGGAAUCUUGCGCAAUGGGCGAAAGCCUGACGCAGCCAUGCCGCUGAAUGAUGAAGGUCUUAGGAUUGUAAAAUUCUUUCACCGGGGAAGAUAAUGACGGUACCCGGAGAAGAAGCCCCGGCUAACUUCGUGCCAGCCGCCGCCGUAAC